This is a small nucleolar RNA of Bombina bombina (fire-bellied toad), 128 nucleotides long. RefSeq annotates it as small nucleolar RNA SNORA71. The transcript has a single exon. Lineage: Eukaryota; Metazoa; Chordata; Amphibia; Anura; Bombinatoridae. The record is from RefSeq and is a predicted model, not a curated record.
ACCUGCAUCGAAAGUGAUUUUGCUCUGUCUGUGGGCUGGUCAUUGAUACUGCAGGGAGAGUAUUGUGAAAGAGUUUCCCGUGUUUGAAGACUUUAUUAUGUCUUAACAAACCCUGUAACUUUCACACA